Molecule: unclassified non-coding RNA, 207 nt
Filed under: fungal sp.
Lineage: Eukaryota; Fungi
Description: partial internal transcribed spacer region
Rfam family: Eukaryotic small subunit ribosomal RNA (bases 1-46)
Source: RNAcentral
AAGUCGUAACAAGGUAACCGUAGGUGAACCUGCGGUUGGAUCAUUAAUAAAUCUAGAAAGUCUUCAAGACUUCUCUAACAUCUUGUGAACUGUUCAUGUCUCUGGCAGGCUCUCGGGUCUGCCGAUUAAACUUUGUAUUCUAUUAAAAGCCUCUAAAUUUAAAAAAAGUAAUUAAAACAACUUUUGACAACGGAUCUCUUGGCUCUC